RNAcentral lists this long non-coding RNA (3560 nucleotides) under Aotus nancymaae (Ma's night monkey). Its description in RNAcentral is "lncRNA (ENSANAG00000038905.1)". The record is from RNAcentral. Lineage: Eukaryota; Metazoa; Chordata; Mammalia; Primates; Aotidae.
CUCCCGCUGCGCUCCCCUCACAGGUGACUGAGACCUUCAACUGUUCUGGGGAGGGAGGAAGUCGCUGCCCGCGGAGAGAAAGGGGGCCGGGGACGUCAGUAUCCGGGGCUGAGGCCACGGCGGCUGAACACUGACCCUGAGGCCCGAAACUGACCGCAGCCAGCGAGGAGCGCCGGAGCAGCCAGGCAGCCCCGGAGGAGUUGAUGGAGGAGAGCUGGGAUGAGGACUGACGGCUCCCAAGACAGGAUGACAGACGCGGGCUGGUGGGGAACAGCCCUGGGAACCCCUAUGAGGGAACUGCGGACCCAGAGCAGAACUGCCGAUGAAACACAGGGUGAGAAAACAAAGCUUCCCGGGGGAAAAAAAGAAAUAAAAUUCCAGUGGCAUAUGAAAGAGUGGGUGUGUGUCUGGGGGAGGAGGUGGAACCUGGGGUUCCCUGAACCCGUUUCCUCAUUAGGGAAUGGGGUGAUCACCACUCAGCCCAUUUGUGAGCACCCACAACAUGCCAGAUGGUUUUGGGGUGCUGGGAUGCAGGCACCAAUCUUUUUGAGAUGGAGUCUUACUCUGUCACCCUAGCUGGAUGGGAUGCAGUGGCGCAAUCUUGGCUCACUGCAACCUCUGCCUCCCAGGUUCAGGCGAUUCUCUUGCCUCAGCCUCCCGAAUAGCUGGAAUUACAAUUUUUAGUAGAGACAGGGUUUCUCCAUGUUGGCCAGGCUGGUGUUGAACUCCUGACCUUAGGUGACCCACCUGCCUUUUCCUCCCAAAGUGCUGGGAUUACAGGUGUGAGCCUAGCCGAUUUUUGUAUUUUUUGUAGAGACAGGGUUUUGCCAUGUUGGCCAGGCUGGUCUCUAACUCAUGAUCUCAAGUGAUCUGCCCACCUUGACCUCCAGAAGUGCUGGGAUUACAGCCAAGAGCCAUCGCACCCAGCCUGGCCUCUGCCUUAAUAGCAUUCUUGCUGGACCUUAAAGCAGAAGACCUGAUGAAGCCACACCCAGCGCUGUUGUUUUUAAGUUGCUCAAUUUUGGUACAAUUUGUUAUGCAGCACCAGAAAACAGAGGGAGAGAUGGGCAAUAAACAGCCCCCAAGGCAUCCCCUCUGCACACCCUUAGAACUCACCUGCUUUAUUUUCAUCGUAGUCAUCACCACCUUUGGUAUGCAUUAAUUUAUUUGUAGAACUUAAUACAUAAAAGGUUUUUUUCUUUCUUUCUUUUGGAGGACCUAAAGAUUCAUGUACAUAAAAGUUUUUUUGGCUGGUGCAGCGGCUCACACUUGUAAUCCUAGCACUUUGGGAGGCCGAGGCAGGCGAAUCACUUGAGGUCAGGAGUUCGAGACUAACCGGGCAACAUGGCGAAACCCCGUCUCUUUAUUUUUAUAAAGUGCUGGGGUCAGUCAGAGGCAAGCCCGGUGGCUCCUGCCUGUGACCCCAGCACUUUGUAAAAAUACAAAAAUUAGCUGGGUGUGGUGGUGUGUGCCUGUAAUCCCAGCUACUCUGGAGGCUGAGGGAGGAGUUCACCUGAACCUGGGAGGUGGAGGUUGCAGUAAGCCAAGAUCAUCGUGCCAAUGCACUCCAGCCUGGGUGAUAGAGCGAGACUCUGUCAUUAAAAAAACAUUAAAAUAAGAGGGAGUGUCAGAAGUGGGAGCUCAACUUUGUUUCUGCCAAGUGCUCAGGGAACAUCUGAUAACACAGGUUCCUUCCUUCCCUCUGCCAACUCCUUGUGCUACCCCUUCCGAGGAGGGACUUCCCAGCCAGAGCUUUCCACUGAUAAAGCAGGCGAGUCCCACCCUUGUUGAGUAUGUAGAGCUCAGCCCCUUUGAAGGCAAACUUCAAUAUCUUUUUAAAAAAAUAUUAAUUAUUUUUUGAGAUGGACUCUCACUCUAUUGCCCAGGCUGGAGUGCAGUGGCGUGAUUUCAGCUCACUGUAACUCCUACCUCCCAGAUUCAAGGGAUUCUCCUGCCUCAGCCUACCGAGUACUGGGAUUGCAGGUGCCCACCAUCACACACAACUAAUUUUUGUAUUUUUAGUAGAGAUGAGGUUUCACCAUGUUGGCCAGGCUGGUCUUGAACUCUUUACUUCAGGUGAUCCACACACCUUGGCUUCCCAAAGUGCUGGGAUUACAGGCAUGAGCCAUUGUGCCUGGCCUGUAGAAUGUUCUAAAAAGAACAAUAUUAACCUUCUUUGAGUCAGCAGUUCCAUUUCUGGCUGUGUGUUCUGAAGAGGUAUUUUCCCACAUUCAUAAGGAAACACCAAUGAGAAGGUUUGUUGUGACACUUUGUUUAGCAGCAAAAUUAUGGGGAAUGAACCCAAUGUCCCCGGUAGGGGAAGGCAGAACUCUGGCAUAAAUAAUGGAAUGGUAUGCUGUGCUUCAAAAGCCCAGACCCCAGCUGGAUGUGGUGGCUUAUGCCUGGAAUCCCAGCACUUUGGGAGGCCAAGGCAGGAGGAUUGUUUGAGGCCAGGAGUUUGAGACCAGCCUGAGCAACAUAUUGAGACUCUUUCUUUACCAAAAAAAAAAAAGAAAAUUAGACAGGUGUGGUGGCUCUGCCUCUAGUCCCAGCUACUUGGGAGGCUGAGGGGGGAGGAUCAUUUGAGCCCAGGAGAUUGAGGCUGAAGUGAGCUGUGACUGAAUCACUGCACUCUAGCCUUGGUGAGAGAGCAAGAUCCUGCCUGAAAGGGGGAAAAAAAAAAAAAGCCUGGUUCAGAACAGAAGCUGUGGCAUGUGCCUAUAAUGCCAGGACUUUGGGGGCUAAGGCAGGAAGGCUGGCUGAAGACAGGAGGUUGAGUCCAGACUGGACAACAUGGGCAGACCCUGUUUCUCAAUUGGUUUGGUUUUUUUGAGGCAGAGUCUUGCUCCGUCACCCAGGCUGGAGUGCAGUGGCUUGAUCUCGGCUCACUGCAACCUCAGCCUUCCGGGUUCAAGUGAUUCUCCUGCCUCAGUCUCCUGAGUAGCUCUGACUACAGGCACGCACCACCAUGCCCAACUAGUUUGUUGUAUUUUUAGUAGACACAGGGUUUCACCAUGUUGGUCAGGCUUGUCUCGAACUUCUGACCUCAUGAUCCACCUGCCUGGACCUCCCAAAGUGCUGGGAUUACUGGCGUGAGCCACUGCAUGGGGCCUCAAUUUGCUUUUUUUAAAGAAAGAAAGAAAAAAGAAGAAGAGAAAAGAAAAAAGGCCUAGACCGUAAGCCUGGGCACACUCAGGCGAUAACUAAGUCUAAAAAUCUGGGUCAGGCCCAGUGGCUCCUGCCUGUGUGAGGCCGAACACUUUGUGAGGCUGAGGCAGGAGAAUCGCUUGAGCCCAUUAAUUCAAGAUCACCCUGAGCAACAUGGUGAAACCCAGUCUCUCCUAAAUAUAUAAAAUUUAGCCAGGAAUGGUGGCACACACCUGAGGUCCCAGAUGAGACCUGGUGAGGCUGAGGUGGGUCCAGGGAGGAUUACCUGAGCCUGGGAGUUCAAGGCUGCAGUGAGCAGAGAAUGUGCUACUGCACUCCAACCUGGGCAACAGAAUGAGAUCCUGUCUCAAAAAAAAAAAAAAAAGACCCUCUGUGGGCUGGGUGUGGUGGAU